Molecule: long non-coding RNA, 847 nt
Organism: Plodia interpunctella (Indianmeal moth)
Lineage: Eukaryota; Metazoa; Arthropoda; Insecta; Lepidoptera; Pyralidae
Exons: 3
Source: RefSeq, a predicted model, not a curated record
AACUAGUUGGCACUGUUGGCAGCACUGCGUCCGAGUCCGUACAUUAAAGUUAUAUGCGAUUCACGUUAGAACUCGUUCUCUGCGUUCGGUCAUUAUUGUGUGGCUUGGCUGGUGAAGGCGGCAAAUGGAAUUGAUUUUCACAUUCCUAUUGUUUUCGGGAGAUUUGUAGCGACAUUAUGUAUAUAAAAAAAACUUAGUAAACGUGUUUUCGUAAUAAAUAGUGCAAUGGCAGACGGUCAAGACGAGACCUCCGCUGAUCCUAUGAGUGACUAUUUGCGCUUAUGGGGUCUUGAAAUGUACAUAAAUUUGUUCAAAGCAUAAUAUCCAUGAUGAUAGCAUCCCUGCAUCAUCGCAUCAUCAAAUGCUGUGUGUAUCAAUAACUUGCCAAUCCUUACUGAUAGCACCAUACAUUACCUACUAGUAUAUUGCUGAAUCAGGACUUGAAAACUUACAGAACUUGGACAAAUAUACAGAAUGAGGAAGUACCAAACUUAAAUACAAAUGGAGUAUACAACACUUUGAGUUCAUGUAAUGAAGGAAAAGGACUACUUCUUCGCUACAAAGAAAGUGGAAUGAAUUCCUGAAAGUUAAUUCUUCUAAGUAUCUUCGCCGCGCCUCUCCUCGUGUGCACUGAAUUAUAUAAAAUGAAGAAAACAGACUAUGAUUGUUAUGUUAAAUUUAAAACUCAAGUAAUGUGUUUGACAUUAAUUUGGGCUAAGCAAUGUCUUAUUAAUAUUUGGUUAACUAUUCUUUAUUUUUAUUAGCCCUAUUUAUGUUUUAUAAUAUAUUGGUGUUUGAUUACCAGUUAUUAUACAAUGGAGAUACUACAGCGUAGGUAUGUAACUUA